This 336-nucleotide ribosomal RNA is filed under the name uncultured bacterium. Its description in RNAcentral is "partial 16S ribosomal RNA". It matches the Rfam family "Bacterial small subunit ribosomal RNA", at positions 338 to 667 of the family's 1533-position model. The record is from RNAcentral.
CCUACGGGAGGCAGCAGUAGGGAAUCUUGCACAAUGGGCGAAAGCCUGAUGCAGCAACGCCGCGUGGGUGAAGAAGGCCUUCGGAUUGUAAAACCCUGUUGUUGAGAAGAUAGUGCGUGAGAGUAACUGUUCACGUUACGUCGGUAUCUAACCAGAAAGCCACGGCUAACUACGUGCCAGCAGCCUCGGUAAUACGUAGGUGGCAAGCGUUAUCCGGAUUUAUUGGGCGUAAAGGGAGCGCAGGCGGUCUGUUAAGUCUGAGGUGAAAGCCUUGGGCGUAACAGGUGUAGUGCAUUGGAUACUGGGAGACUUGAGUGCAGGAGAGGAAGGUGGAAG